UCCUAGAGAGAUCACUGCAGAGCUUCCCCCUUGCCAAGGCUGCCGUUGCUCUUGGGACCAGCUGAAUACAACGGGCACCCCACCCCAGCGCUGGUGAUCAGAGUUCACUGUCAUCUCCAAGCCAAAGGGAGCCAACCUUGGAAGCUCCCUGCUCUGACCUUUUGCUGGCUGAAGUCCGAAUGCUAAGACUGACCUCAGGAUGAGGCAGCAGUCUGUAUGCUGAUCUCUGCUCCAGUGUCAAUGCACAGGCCUCUCCAGGAAUGAGAGUCUACAUUUACAACUUGGUGAGGUGGGACCUAGAACACAUGGCUUCUAAGGUCACCUCCAGUUUCAGGCAGGUGGUGUGACUUGGGAAGUCCCUGGGAGUUUUGACCAAUUUACUCCUGGGAGAGUGAAUUAG
This 400-nucleotide long non-coding RNA is filed under the name Mus spicilegus (steppe mouse). Its description in RNAcentral is "lncRNA (ENSMSIG00000005573.1)". The record is from RNAcentral. Lineage: Eukaryota; Metazoa; Chordata; Mammalia; Rodentia; Muridae.